AUGAGUGUGCAAUAAUGCUUUUCGAAACCACAAAGGUCUUCUGAUGAGAUGUGGAAACUGAAGGAUAAGAAUGUUUCUGCUACAGAACAACGCUGAAUCUAGUAAAAGCAGAGGCAGAACACUCUGCCAGGAAUUACAAAACCAGUUCUGUUUGACAAGGGAGGACUUGGUGCCUGCUCAGCUGGCAGGGCUACUCCAAAACCACUGACGAAUACUGACACCUACUGGAGAUACUGGAGUGUUGCAGCAGAGACUCCCAUCACAGCACCUUCAUGACCCCAUCAUUGUUCCUGACUUCAUUUUCACUCAUUAUACAAAAUUCAGCCAUUUCUGUAACUGUUUCUAUAAAAUACAUAGUAAUGGCGUUUAUAAAUGGCUAUCCAAAAAAUAUCAUGUAAAAGAAACUAAUACAUAAAUGAUGCCUAAAAUAAAUAACCUAUUCUCCAGGGCAGCAUCUCAAGUGUUACUAAAGGUCACCCCACUCCAUUACUGAAGAUAUCCUAUCCACUAAAGAAGCAGUGCGGAAGACACUCCAGAUGAGAUAGCACACUGUCAUGUUUACCCCAGGGUUACUGGUCUACUUAGAUGUCAUGGAAAUAAUGUUUCAGACCUCGCAACUAAGGCAUUCUUUGUAUCAAUAUCAGAUUCAACUGACAAAAAUCAUAUCACACCUAAAGCUUACUUCUAAAGAAAUGUGGAUGUUCCUAUCCCCCAAUAAUGUAACUAACACAUUACACGUGACAAUACAUUGUCAGCAGCAGUGUGGAUUAGUGGUCUGCUAAGAAAUAAAUAAUAAUAAUUGUGACACGCUCAUCGCAGUUUUUAUAAUAGCAUUUCAUAACAAAUGUAUAUGUACUUUUUUCAUUAGUUGAGGAAAUCAUAUGUCCUAACCAUAAAAAACAACAACAAUUAUACAGCUAUACAGGUAAGUCCUUUUAAAAAAUAAAAUCCUGCAGUAUACCAUAGUAAAAGCUUAGUGAAAUAAAGUAAUGCAUGGUAAAGCACAAGCCAUCCUGUUAAAUCACAAUUACACAAUUGUCAAAAUUAAAGCAUUGUCAAAACCUGGUUAAACCACAGCAAAAUGCAUAGGUAAGCACAGUGAAAGCAUGGAAAACGGCAAAAUGAACAAUCAAAAUGUGCAGAGUGAGAAUCCUCAGCACGCUCGCUGACCCAGAUCACUGAU
Acipenser ruthenus (sterlet) is the source of this 1183-nucleotide long non-coding RNA. RefSeq lists it as uncharacterized. The transcript is spliced from 3 exons. Lineage: Eukaryota; Metazoa; Chordata; Actinopteri; Acipenseriformes; Acipenseridae. The record is from RefSeq and is a predicted model, not a curated record.